GGGCAAUGAUGACUUAACAAAAGCAGAGGAGUUUGUGCUGCUCAUGCGGAAGCACUACACCUCCACACUAGCAGUCUCCAGCGACAAAAGUCCGACCUGUGGUGAGAUUUUGCCCAUCCUGCAAAAGCUACAGCAACACUACACCAUACAAGAAGAUGACUCUGCCUUCACAAGGAGCAUAAAGGAGAACAUUUGGAAAGAUCUUUCCAAACAGUACCAGGGACGCUGAUAUCCAGAGAUUCCUGGAGGAGGCCUCCAUCUUGGACCCCCGAUUUAAAUCCAAAGUGGAUAAGGAUGAAGUCUGGGACAGGAUCAGGGAAGCAGCAAUUGCAGCAAACACAGAGGCAGGAGCAGAUGAGCACCUGGAGCAAGGAGACACACAGGGAGAGUUGUUCGAAGAUGAAGAUGAAGAUGAGGAUGAAGAAGACUAUGCGCCACCAGUAAAGCAAAAAAAAACGGCCUUGGAGGAACUCUUUGAAGAGGAGGACAAUGAGCUGCAGUCAUUCCAACAACGGCAGCCCAGAGAGUGGAUCAGGAGAUCCAGCUGUAUAGAAGCCUA
Polypterus senegalus (gray bichir) is the source of this 559-nucleotide long non-coding RNA. RefSeq lists it as uncharacterized. The transcript has 4 exons. Lineage: Eukaryota; Metazoa; Chordata; Cladistia; Polypteriformes; Polypteridae. The record is from RefSeq and is a predicted model, not a curated record.